GUAGUUAGCCGGGGCUUCCUCCUUGGCUACCGUCAUUUUUUCGUCACCAAGGACAGAGGUUUACAACCCGAAGGCCUUCUUCCCUCACGCGGCGUUGCUGGGUCAGGCUUUCGCCCAUUGCCCAAUAUUCCCCACUGCUGCCUCCCGUAGGAGUCUGGACCGUGUCUCAGUUCCAGUGUGGCCGAUCAGCCUCUCAGCUCGGCUACCCAUCGUCGACUUGGUGGGCCGUUACCCCGCCAACUAUCUAAUGGGACGCGAGCCCCUCCUUCUGCGGAUUGCUCCUUUGACCUCAAAAUGAUGCCAUCUCGUGGUCUUAUGCGGUAUUAGCAAUCGUUUCCGGUUGUUAUCCCCCUCAAAAGGACAGGUUGCUCACGCGUUACUCACCCGUUCGCCGGUCGUCGUCUGCAUCAGCAAGCUGACACAACGUUACCCCGCGACUUGCAUGUGUUAAGCCUGUAGCUAGCGUUCAUCCUGAGCCAGAAUCGAACCCUGA
This 493-nucleotide ribosomal RNA is filed under the name uncultured bacterium. RNAcentral's name for it is "partial 16S ribosomal RNA". The record is from RNAcentral.